This is a long non-coding RNA of Passer montanus (Eurasian tree sparrow), 392 nucleotides long. RefSeq lists it as uncharacterized. The record is from RefSeq and is a predicted model, not a curated record. The transcript has 4 exons. Lineage: Eukaryota; Metazoa; Chordata; Aves; Passeriformes; Passeridae.
GUUUCAAAGGACUGCAUGGGAGAAUUCACUUCACAAGAGGCCCCUUUCAGACACUCUCCAGUACAACUUGUCAAUGAGAAAGGAGAGGGUAAAAGUUUCAAGCUGUCAAGAAGAAUUGCAUUCAAUCUACUUCUGGGUCUGCUCCUACUCAAUGAGGCAGGUUUUGCUGGUGAAAUUCUUCUCCAGUCUCAAGGCAGUAACAUUGUGGCUGUGAGUACCUGAGAGAAGCCCUCUGGAAAAGGGCUUCCUCUACAAUAGAAACCAAGGAGCUGUUCACUCCUCCAUGGCAGUCAGAAGUAUGUUAAUGGCACAUAUCUUUCAUCCGUGGAGAGAUUGAAGCCUGGGUGGGGGAUCAUGAUCUUUGCAAAGUGAUAUACAAAACUAAUAGCCAG